AAAUACAUACACACAUGCAGAUACUGACACACAUACAGAUGUACAGACACACUGAUAUGCCUGCAGAUACACAGACACACACAGACACUGCCACAUACAAAGACACUUACACACUGCCACAUAUGCAGAUACACAGACAUACAGAAACACAUUCCACACAUACAGUAUACACAAACUACACACAUACAGACACACACUACACGUUCACAGAUACACACAAACACAC
Non-coding RNA from Pelobates cultripes (western spadefoot toad), 226 nucleotides. The record is from the annotation of a GenBank genome assembly. NCBI's taxonomy places the organism in Eukaryota, Metazoa, Chordata, Amphibia, Anura, Pelobatidae.